CUUUGCUGAGCAGGAAAGAAACCAGGUAAAGUAACAUAUCAUAGCCUUCUUAUUCCCAGGCAGAUGUCUGAGGCUUCUCUUUCCUUUGGUCAAAUCUGAUUUGUAUUUCUUCUUGGCUAAUACCUCUAGAGUGCUCCAGGCUGCUUUCUGCCUG
Molecule: unclassified non-coding RNA, 154 nt
Organism: Dipodomys ordii (Ord's kangaroo rat)
Lineage: Eukaryota; Metazoa; Chordata; Mammalia; Rodentia; Heteromyidae
Source: Ensembl